ACAGCACAGCUCCAGUCCCUCCCUUUACAAGCCCCCCUUCCAUCCCCUUGUUCAUUAGCCUUCAUUGGGGGGCUUGCCAAGGGCCUCUUGAUGUCCCCUCCCUGGUGGAGUCACUAUUCCACUAUGUGACUCCUCACAAGGAUCUUGGAGUGAUGGCAAUUUUCCAUCAAUAUCUGGAUGUUACAAAGUACUCUCCGUGGAACUGGCUAUGUUUAGCCGUCAUAGUCAUCAUUGCCAUCUUCAUUAUCCUCUUGAUCAUCAUCUUCAUUUAUAUACUGAAUAUCCACUUUGUGACAGGAGAAUUAUAGAGAAGCAGAAGAUAUGCGUCCUGCCCUCAAAGAGCUUGCAAUGGAAGAUGUAACACUAUGGCUUCUCUCAUUUAUAAACACAUAUACACCAGUA
Molecule: long non-coding RNA, 402 nt
Organism: Sarcophilus harrisii (Tasmanian devil)
Lineage: Eukaryota; Metazoa; Chordata; Mammalia; Dasyuromorphia; Dasyuridae
Exons: 2
Source: RefSeq, a predicted model, not a curated record